RNAcentral lists this ribosomal RNA (406 nucleotides) under uncultured bacterium. Its description in RNAcentral is "partial 16S ribosomal RNA". It matches the Rfam family "Bacterial small subunit ribosomal RNA", at positions 30 to 526 of the family's 1533-position model. The record is from RNAcentral.
AUUGAACGCUGGCGGCAGGCCUAACACAUGCAAGUCGAGCGAGCGGCGGACGGGUGAGUAAUGUCUGGGAAACUGCCUGAUGGAGGGGGAUAACUACUGGAAACGGUAGCUAAUACCGCAUACCAUCAGAUGUGCCCAUAUGGGAUUAGCUUGUUGGUGGGGUAAUGGCACACCAAGGCGACGAUCCGUAGCUGGUCUGAGAGGAUGAAAAGCCACACUGGAACUGAGACACGGUCCAGACUCCUACGGGAGGCAGCAGUGGGGAAUAUUGCACAAUGGGCGCAAGCCUGAUACAGCCAUGCCGCGUGUGUGAAGAAGGCCUUCGGGUUGUAAAGCACUUUCAGCGAGGAGGCGUUACUCACAGAAGAAGCACCGGCUAACUCCGUGCCAGCAGCCGCGGUAAUUC